RNAcentral lists this ribosomal RNA (256 nucleotides) under uncultured bacterium. RNAcentral's name for it is "partial 16S ribosomal RNA". It matches the Rfam family "Bacterial small subunit ribosomal RNA", at positions 524 to 776 of the family's 1533-position model. The record is from RNAcentral.
CACGUAGGGGGCAAGCGUUGUCCGGAUUUAUUGGGCGUAAAGAGCUCGUAGGCGGCUCGGUAAGUCGGGUGUGAAACCUCCAGGCUCAACCUGGAGACGCCACCCGAUACUGCUGUGGCUAGAGUCCGGUAGGGGAGCGUGGAAUUCCUGGUGUAGCGGUGAAAUGCGCAGAUAUCAGGAGGAACACCAGCGGCGAAGGCGACUCUUUGGCCUGUAACUGACGCUGAGGCGCGAAAAGCGUGGGGGAGCAAACAGG